RNAcentral lists this ribosomal RNA (292 nucleotides) under uncultured bacterium. RNAcentral's name for it is "partial 16S ribosomal RNA". It matches the Rfam family "Bacterial small subunit ribosomal RNA", at positions 505 to 796 of the family's 1533-position model. The record is from RNAcentral.
GUGUCAGCCGCCGCGGUAAAACGUAGGACGCAAGCGUUAUCCGGAGUUACUGGGCGUAAAGCGCGGGCAGGCGGCUUGUCAAGUGGGGUGUGAAAUCUCCCGGCUUAACCGGGAGGGGCCAUUCCAAACUGACAGGCUGGAGGGCAGUAGAGGUAGGCGGAAUUCCGGGUGGAGUGGUGAAAUGCGUAGAGAUCCGGAGGAACACCAGAGGCGAAAGCGGCCUACUGGGCUGCACCUGACGCUGAGCCGCGAAAGCCAGGGGAGCGAACGGGAUUAGAAACCCGUGUAGUCC